UCCCGGUAGAGCUGGACCAGUUCGUCGACGGCGGCGUCGUCGGGGGACGCCGCCACGGCGGAGAACUCGGCGGUGCCUUCCACCACCAGGAA
Molecule: transfer RNA, 92 nt
Filed under: Actinokineospora sp. UTMC 2448
Lineage: Bacteria; Bacillati; Actinomycetota; Actinomycetes; Pseudonocardiales; Pseudonocardiaceae
Description: tRNA-Ala
Source: RNAcentral